AAGUUGCCGUCUAUCUUGUCUUCUAACUUGUAAUUAUUAUAAAAAUCUAGUUUUCCACUUAUCUAGAAGUGAGUGUGUGUGUGUGUGGAUAGAUCUCACCUCACAUUCACAAAUCACAAUAGCAGAAGAUUAUGGCAACAAAAGUGAAGGUUUGGGGGUUUUGGUGUAGUCCUUUUGUGUUUAGGGUAGUAUGGGCAUUGAAGCUAAAGGGUGUUGAAUUUGAAUAUAUUGAAGAAGACGUCUUUAACAAAAGCACCAGGCUUCUUGAGCUGAACCCAGUUCAUAAAAAGGUUCCUGUGCUUGUUCAUGAUGACAAAGUGAUAGUUGAGUCGUUUGUUAUUCUGGAGUACAUCGAUGAGACAUGGCCACAAGAUCCGUUGCUGCCUCGAGAUCCUUAUGAAAGAGCCAUGGCUCGAUUUUGGGCUAAAUUUGCAGAUGAAAAGGUGAGUGUUAAUGUUUUUACAACUUUGAAUUCAAUUAAAACUUCGAUUUGAUCUUUUCAAAACAAGUUUGUGGUUUUUCUGUUAAAGUUCUCUCUGAACUAAAAUACUGGUUUGGCCUCCUAAUUUUUUUAUUUUUAGCUGAUGCAAACUGCAUGCAAGUCAACGUGGACCAAAGGAGAGGAAAAAGAGGAUGCUCUGAAAGCAACAAUGGAAGCUUUGGAGAAGAUAGAGGGAGAACUCAAAGGAAAAAGCUACUUUGGAGGAGAGAACAAAUAUGCGUAUUUGGAAGUUGCAAUUGGAUGGAUCAAUUACCUUAUACCAAUUUGGGAAGAAAUUGCAUCCAUUCAAUUUCUUGACCCGAAAAGAUUUCCAGCCAUUACUGCAUGGAAAAGCAAGUUUCUGGAUAACCCUUUGAUCAAAGAAACCCUGCCACCAAGGGAGAAAUUGCUUAUCUAUUUUCACGAGCGCGUCAAACAUUGGGAGAUUGACGCUACAAUCCGUGAACUGGCGGAGACCAAACUUGAAAAUUAAUUAAUUAAUCGAAUUAUCAUCUCUGCACGUGUCUCUUUUUUAUUCGCUCUGUAUGAUUUCGUUGUUUUUUAUUAUUAUUGUUAUUAUUAUUUUUAUAAGUACUUUGGGUCAAGUUGAAUCUGUGUUGAGAAAAUAAAGAAGAGGUAUGACCUAUUUAUUAUGCUUUGGCGGGACAAAAAUUAUACAUUACUUUCAUGGAACUAUUUUUUCAGAUAUAUGGAAUUUGUAGCUAGAUCAAGAGUUAAAGAGUUGAAGAUUAAACCAACAAAGUGUUGGCUCCACUGGCAAUUGAGUCCCCUUAAGUGGCUUGACUGGGUUUGCUCCCCAGUUCGAGUCGCAGGGAAGUCGCUUUUGUUGGGAGAACUUGUGCCUCCCGGUUCGAGCGGGGACUUCUAGUCUGGAUUGUGGUACGGGCUUAAAGGUGCCUCCCAUAGUUGGGGCCCUCCCCAGGAUACCUCGUGAUUAAUAUAAAAAAAAAAAAAAAGAGUUGAAGAUUAGCUUCAAUCUUAUAAACAUGGCCUAAAGUUCAUCCCAUAUUAAUGUAGGAUUUUUCCUUAAUUAACUUCUGUUAUGUGCACAUCAAUUUAUUUUUUUUUUGUUAGAUCCUUAUCACAUAGAAAGAUAAUUUGGAUCCACUCAUAGGUGAAUUUGUCCAUUAUAACAUAUUGAAAUCUAUGAGUUUAAUUCAUGUUAAAAAACUCAUUUAGAUCUUGAGGAAUAUUGCCUUUAACCCAAUAUUCAAUUGCAAUUAAGUGGAGAUCCUCCAAUGUAAUGAAAAAUUGUUUUAUUUAAAUUAAAUUAAACAAGAAAAACAUUUCAUCAAUAUACUAUAAUGGGAAGAGCAUUUGGCGCCCCUGAGCAUUAAUUAAACUUAUUUUCUAUUCGAAUUUUUGUUGCUAGUAUAAUUAUUGGGCAAAUUAAUUGUUUCCAAAAGGGUAUCAUACAUUAGUUCUUAUCAUUUUUGUUAACUUCAUAUAAUUAGGAGAAAUUCUAUAAACAGACUCUUAAAGAUUUUAGAUUUACAAGCUAUAAAAUAAGAUGAAAAAAAAAAUUACCUUACAAUAAUUGUAUGUUACAAUGAUAGUAAGUUUUUAUAAGAUAGACGAACCCAAUAUAAGAUGAGUUAAAAAUAUCAAAUAUAUACAUCAAUUAUUCGGAGGUAUGUAUAGAACAUUCAUUUUUUAUAUUCAACUAACAUUGUGUUGCUAAAAACAAUAAUAUUAUACUAGUUUAGUUAGGAUAACUAGUUUAUAUUCCAAUUGCUGUGACAUUAUUUGAUUAACUUAAGUGCUAGUUAGUUAUUAAGUUUUAUCAUUUCACAUAAAUUGAAAUAUAAACAAAAUAUUCCAACUAAAUAAAUAUAGCAUCACUCAUUUUUAAAAAUUUUAAGUUUUUAGAAAUAACGAAUAUCUCCUGUUGUAUGUAUAAUAUCUUAAUACCCACAGAAUGAUAAAUUUAUUAAAAUAAAAGAAUUGCAAAGAAUACAACUAGCAGCUAGUUCGAGAAGGAUCUAAGCGAGCCUUACUCUUAACAAAUUAACCAUUUUCAAAGCCUAUGCCUAUUAGAAAAGACACUUAAAAAUAAUGAAAAAUCAAACAGAUCUGCAGUAAGGUAGAUAUCACAAGAUAUUGUGAUGUAAUCAAUUAUGAAUUUAUGUUGGACUAUUAAUGUUGUUGUUACACUUAGAAAUUCUCGGCCAUUGCUGAAUGGAGCACCAAGUUUCUGAAACACCCUGUCAUCAAAGAAAACUUGCCACCCAGGGACAAGACGCUUGCCUAUUUUCACAAGCGAGUAGAAGAGAUUAUGCCGACUUUUGUGCAUCGGAGAAUUAAAGUUGCAAUGUUGUGUGUAAUGUAUAUUUCAUCUUUAAAUCAAAUAUUUAGAAAGAAUAAGAUGAUAUCCUAUGAUUAGGCCUAUGUUCUAUAAUAUGCAAGAACUGCCUGUUAUGUCUUCAUAAAUUUGGAAGCCUACAAAGAACUAGGAAGCUUCUCUCUUUUUAUCAGAAUUUUGCAAAUAACGGUUGUAUAAAUGGUUUCAAAGAUGAGUUUAUUUAGUAAAAUAAUGGGAGUAGUAAAUUUUAGUUAAGGGACAGAGGUUGCAUUAGGCAUCCUAGUGGGUGUAUAGCUAAAAAAAAUUAUUUUUUUAUAUAUGUAAUAAUAGAUCUUUUGAAAAGAUGGGUUUUUAAAAUAGUUUAGUGGAUGACAUCAUUUAAAUUUUAACAAAUAAUAAUAAUAACAACUCUCUAAAGAAAAUCAAGCAAAAAUAAUAAUAGCUUGAAGACUUAAUACUACCAGAAGGAGCUGCAAGCAUCAUGAGACAGGAUAGCUUUGAGCCCUUGACCAUAUCUUGGGGCCUGCAUCACUGUACCACCACCCAAAUCAUCAUACUGCAGGCUCAAUUUAGACAAGAAAAUUCUAUGGGUUUACUAAGGCCCAAAUUAAUCUAACUCAAUCUAGUUAAAUUAAUAUAGAUUGAUUGGGUUAUAAUGGGUUGAUUCCGUCAAUUUAUUAAGUGGUGAUAAUUGACUCUCUUAUUUUAUCUAACUAGUCCCCACUUUUUAGUUAAAUUCAUUAAAAAUUUGAAAUUAAUUUUUAUCCCUUACAAUAUCUCAAAUAAUCCCAAUUUUAUUUUUAUUAUAAUUUUUUUUUCAACCAUCCAUCGUAUAAAACUUAUGAAAUCUAUUUUUUUUUUAAAAAAACUCUAAAAACAUUUAAAAAGAAAAGAACAUCGUGUUAUUUAUCGUUAGAUGUUGGUUACAAUGGAAAAUAUUUAAUUUUAUGAUGGGGAAUUAUGUGCUUUUUUACUAUUUGAAUUUAAUUUUAAAUUCCAAAUUAUUUUUUAAACUUUUAUAUUUAAAUUUUUUGUAUUUUUAAUUUUGAUCAAGAUCAACCCAACCCAACCCAACCAAACCAUUGCCGAUGAUUUAAGGGUUGGAGUGGGUUGGAUUUGACAUGUUUAUUUGUUUAAUUUAUUAAUUCUUCUCAACCCAAUUAACAAUGGAUUGAGUUGGAUUUUUAUAAACUGAAUCCAAUUCAACCCAUAUCCACCUCUAAAAAUUAAAUUCUUUUAUAAAAUAGUGUUAGAAAAAUAUUUUAACAAGGAACUAUUUUUAAAUUAAAAAAGGGGAGAAGUUCUCAUCAGUCAUCUCUACAUAGGAUAUUGUUGCAUAUAAAACAUUGAAAUGAAAAAAAAAAAAAUUAGAAACUAGACUUUUGAAAUUCCAAAUGUCCUCACAGAACUCAACACCGUCAAUGGCAAAAACACACACGCAGGUUAAUUAAGUCAUGCCUUGCCUCUCAAGAAGUGUCGCAUUCUCGAGAAAAAUUCCAUUUACAUUAAAGGUCGUGUGUAUGUAGCAUAAAAAUUGGAUUCUUUAAUUUAUAUGUAACCAAUCGAAAAAAAAUAAUAAUAAUCUACAGCAGUCAAAGUUGCCGUCUAUCUUGUCUUCUAACUUGUAAUUAUUAUAAAAAUCUAGUUUUCCACUUAUCUAGAAGUGAGUGUGUGUGUGUGUGGAUAGAUCUCACCUCACAUUCACAAAUCACAAUAGCAGAAGAUUAUGGCAACAAAAGUGAAGGUUUUGGGGGUUUGGUGUAGUCCUUUUGUGUUUAGGGUAGUAUGGGCAUUGAAGCUAAAGGGUGUUGAAUUUGAAUACAUUGAAGAAGACAUCUUUAACAAAAGCACCAGGCUUCUUGAGCUGAACCCAGUUCAUAAAAAGGUUCCUGUGCUUGUUCAUGAUGACAAAGUGAUAGUUGAGUCGCUUGUUAUUCUGGAGUACAUCGAUGAGACAUGGCCACAAGAUCCGUUGCUGCCUCAAGAUCCUUAUGAAAGAGCCAUGGCUCGAUUUUGGGCUAAAUUUGCAGAUGAAAAGGUG
RNAcentral lists this long non-coding RNA (4845 nucleotides) under Citrus maxima (pomelo). RNAcentral describes it as "long non-coding RNA (CMAX_LNC003657)". Lineage: Eukaryota; Viridiplantae; Streptophyta; Magnoliopsida; Sapindales; Rutaceae. The record is from RNAcentral.